This 358-nucleotide unclassified non-coding RNA is filed under the name plant metagenome. Its description in RNAcentral is "partial contains 5.8S ribosomal RNA, internal transcribed spacer 2, and large subunit ribosomal RNA". The stretch from base 1 to 105 matches the Rfam family "5.8S ribosomal RNA", at positions 50 to 154 of the family's 154-position model. The record is from RNAcentral.
AAGCUGCGAUAAGUAAUGUGAAUUGCAGAACUCAGUGAAUCAUCGAGUCUUCGAACGCACAUUGCGCCCCCUGGUACUCCGGGGGGCACGCCUGUCCGAGCGUCGUCCGACGACCCCUUCGGGCCCCCCCCCCGUGAUCCCGGUCCCCGGGUCCGGUGGGGCCCGGCGUUGGGCCUCUUGAACGCCCCCGUGUCGGGCGGGCCCGCAAGUCACCGACCGGUCGUCCCCGAGGGCCCCGAGCGCAGCGGCUGUCCCAGGCUCGACGAGGCCCCCGCGGGACGCCCACCGGCGUGAUCCCCCCGUCCCCCAGACGCACGUUUGACCUCGGAUCAGGCGGGGUUACCCGCUGAACUUAAGC